GUUGAAAAGUGCUUGGAUGACUUGUGGGUAGCGGAGAAAUUCCAAACGAACUUGGAGAUAGCUGGUUCUCUCCGAAAUAGCUUUAGGGCUAGCGUCGACAUUAGAGAUUCUUGGAGGUAGAGCACUGUUUGGGUGAGGGGUCCAUCCCGGAUUACCAAUCUCAGAUAAACUCCGAAUGCCAAUGAAUUAUGGUCGGCAGUCAGACUGCGAGUGCUAAGAUCCGUAGUCGAAAGGGAAACAGCCCAGACCACCAGCUAAGGUCCCAAAAUAAUUGUUAAGUGGAAAAG
RNAcentral lists this ribosomal RNA (287 nucleotides) under Klebsiella pneumoniae. RNAcentral describes it as "partial 23S ribosomal RNA". It matches the Rfam family "Bacterial large subunit ribosomal RNA", at positions 788 to 1071 of the family's 2925-position model. Lineage: Bacteria; Pseudomonadati; Pseudomonadota; Gammaproteobacteria; Enterobacterales; Enterobacteriaceae. The record is from RNAcentral.